GAUGAACGCUAGCGGCAGGCCUAAUACAUGCCAGUCGGACGGGAUCUAUCGGAGAGCUUGUUCGAAGAUAGAGAGAGUGGCGCACGGGUGCGUAACGCGUGAGCAACCUACCCAUAUCAGGGGGAUAGCGCGGAGAAAUCCGGAUUAAGCCCGCAUACCACUGUGAUUUGGCAUCAUGUUACAGCUAAAUCUUUAUAGGAUCUGGAUGGGAUCGCGUGACAGUAGCUAGUUGGUGAGGUAACGGCUCACCAAGGCGACGAUGUCUAGGGGCUCUGAGAGGGGAAUCCCCCACACUGGUACUGAGACACGGACCAGACUCCUACGGGAGGCAGCAGUAAGGAAUAUUGGUCAAUGGGCGGAAGCCUGAACCAGCCGUGCUGCGUGCAGGACGACUGCCCUAUGGGUUGUAAACUGCUUGUGUCGAGGAAUAAACCUAUCUACGUGUAGAUAGCUGAACGUACUCGAAGCAUAAGGAUCGGCUAACACCGUGCCAGCCGCCGCCGUAA
This 506-nucleotide ribosomal RNA is filed under the name uncultured bacterium. RNAcentral describes it as "partial 16S ribosomal RNA". It matches the Rfam family "Bacterial small subunit ribosomal RNA", at positions 28 to 523 of the family's 1533-position model. The record is from RNAcentral.